RNAcentral lists this ribosomal RNA (297 nucleotides) under uncultured bacterium. RNAcentral's name for it is "partial 16S ribosomal RNA". It matches the Rfam family "Bacterial small subunit ribosomal RNA", at positions 790 to 1084 of the family's 1533-position model. The record is from RNAcentral.
GUAGUCCACGCCGUAAACGAUGGGUACUAGGUGCCUGGGGGAGCGACCCUCUGGGUGCCGGCGCUAACGCAGGAAGUACCCCGCCUGGGGAGUACGACCGCAAGGUUGAAACUCAAAGGAAUUGACGGGGGCCCGCACAAGCGGUGGAGCAUGUGGUUUAAUUCGACGCAACGCGAAGAACCUUACCUAGGCUUGACAUGCAGGAGCAAGCUCUCAGAAACGAGAGCCCCUCUUCGGAGAUCCUGCACAGGUGCUGCAUGGCUGUCGUCAGCUCGUGUCGUGAGAUGUUGGGUUAAG